UACGUAGGGGGCAAGCGUUGUCCGGAUUUAUUGGGCGUAAAGAGCGUGUAGGCGGCCAGAUAGGUCAGCUGUGAAAACUCGAGGCUCAACCUCGAGAUGUCGGCUGAAACCAUCUGGCUAGAGUCCGGAAGAGGAGAAUGGAAUUCCCGGUGUAGCGGUGAAAUGCGCAGAUAUCGGGAAGAACACCCGUGGCGAAGGCGGUUCUCUGGGCCUUACCUGACGCUGAGGAGCGAAAGCGUGGGGAGCGAACAGG
RNAcentral lists this ribosomal RNA (253 nucleotides) under uncultured bacterium. RNAcentral's name for it is "partial 16S ribosomal RNA". It matches the Rfam family "Bacterial small subunit ribosomal RNA", at positions 524 to 776 of the family's 1533-position model. The record is from RNAcentral.